This 340-nucleotide ribosomal RNA is filed under the name uncultured eukaryote. RNAcentral describes it as "bacterial SSU rRNA". It matches the Rfam family "Eukaryotic small subunit ribosomal RNA", at positions 22 to 359 of the family's 1831-position model. The record is from RNAcentral.
AGUCAUAUGCUUGUCUCAAAGAUUAAGCCAUGCAUGUCUAAGUAUAGACAACUUUAUACUGUAAAACUGCGAACGGCUCAUUAUAUCAGCAAUUAUUUAUUUGAUGGUUCCUUACUACAUGGAUAACUGUGGUAAUUCUAGAGCUAAUACAUGCGCCCAAACCCGACUCCGUGGAAGGGUUGUGUUUAUUAGUUACAGAACCAACCCAGGCUCUGCCUGGUCUUGUGGUGAUUCAUAAUAACCGAAUGAAUCGCAUUGCAUCAGCUGGCGAUGAAUCAUUCAAGUUUCUGACCUAUCAGCUUCCGACGGUAGGGUAUUGGCCUACCGUGGCAAUGACGGG